This 439-nucleotide ribosomal RNA is filed under the name uncultured bacterium. Its description in RNAcentral is "partial 16S ribosomal RNA". It matches the Rfam family "Bacterial small subunit ribosomal RNA", at positions 338 to 795 of the family's 1533-position model. The record is from RNAcentral.
CCUACGGGGGGCAGCAGUGGGGGAUAUUGCACAAUGGGGGAAACCCUGAUGCAGCGACGCCGCGUGUAGGAAGACGGUCCUCUGGAUUGUAAACUACUGUCCCCAGGGACGAAGAUGACGGUACCUGGGGAGGAAGCUCCGGCUAACUACGUGCCAGCAGCCGCGGUAAUACGUAGGGAGCGAGCGUUGUCCGGAAUUACUGGGUGAAAAGGGAGCGUAGGCGGGGAUGCAAGUUGGGUGUUAAAUCUACCGGCUCAACUGGUAGUCGCACUCAAAACUGCAGCUCUUGAGUGAAGUAGAGGCAGGCGGAAUUCCUAGUGUAGCGGUGAAAUGCGUAGAUAUUAGGAGGAACACCAGUGGCGAAGGCGGCCGCUGGGCUUUUACUGACGCUGAGGCUCGAAAGUGUGGGGAGCAAACAGGAUUAGAUACCCCUGUAGUC